This 67-nucleotide transfer RNA is filed under the name Bombus sibiricus. RNAcentral's name for it is "tRNA-Pro". Lineage: Eukaryota; Metazoa; Arthropoda; Insecta; Hymenoptera; Apidae. The record is from RNAcentral.
CAAAAAAUAGUUUAAUAAAAAUAAUAAUUUUGGGAAUUAUUGAUAUUUUGAGGAAAAAUUUUUUUGA